AUGUCUUUUAAGGUCUUUCCACUACGCGAGGAAAGACCUUUUUGUUCUUUCUAACGUUUUUUUUUCUUCCAGCAUUUUUUUUGGCACGCCCUCCUACCACUUCUAUUGGAAUUAUCAAUACCAAAUUUGAACCAUCAAUAGAACACAUCAUGAAGUUUUACCAGAUGAACUUUUUUUUUAGGAUUUCAUCAUCACCUGUAGAAGUUAUCUCCAAUUUAUUGAUUUUUGUCAACAUGGCCCCCCUCGUUGUUUUUAAAAAUAUCAUGACUUUAUUGGGACAAUAGGUAGAUCUCAUCUUGAUGUAUUACCAUAUGAGGCUGCAAAGGAUUUCAUCAUCCCCUAUGAGAGUUUACUGCGUAGCAGGUCUAUUACAACAUAUCUUUAUUGUUAACAUGCAACAGCUGCUUUACAAAAUCUACAAACUGAAAAAUAAAAGUGCAUUGACUAGUCGUUGGAAUCGGAUAACCAUUGUAUCACGUAUCCGUGUUGACAAACAGGAAGAUCCACAAAUGUCAACAGGUGAUAGAUAAAUUUUCAAUGGUUCGAAUUCCUCCAAUCAAUGUAUUGUUCCUGUAUGAAAGUACAUUCGAUCUUUCGAAACAUUAAACAAAAUGGUAAUUAACGGC
This 626-nucleotide long non-coding RNA is filed under the name Mytilus galloprovincialis (Mediterranean mussel). The record is from RNAcentral. Lineage: Eukaryota; Metazoa; Mollusca; Bivalvia; Mytilida; Mytilidae.